GCUUAACGCGAAGAACCUUACCCACCUUUGACAUCCCGUGCUACCUAGAGAGAUCUAGGGUCCCUUCGGGGCGCGGAGACAGGUGCUGCAUGGCUGUCGUCAGCUCGUGUCGUGAGAUGUUGGGUUAAGUCCCGCAACGAGCGCAACCCUCGCUUCUAGUUGCCAGCAUUUAGUUGGGCACUCUAGAGGAACUGCCUGCGCCAAGCAGGAGGAAGGCGGGGAUGACGUCAAGUCCUCAUGGCCCUUACAGGUGGGGCUACACACGUGCUACAAUGGCGGUGACAAAGGGAUAAUCCCUAAAAGCCGUCUCAGUUCGGAUUGUCCUCUGCAACUCGAGGGCAUGAAGUUGGAAUCGCUAGUAAUCGCGGAUCAGCACGCCGCGGUGAAUACGUUCCCGGGUCUUGUACACACCGGGG
Molecule: ribosomal RNA, 416 nt
Filed under: uncultured bacterium
Lineage: Bacteria
Description: bacterial SSU rRNA
Rfam family: Bacterial small subunit ribosomal RNA
Source: RNAcentral